RNAcentral lists this ribosomal RNA (373 nucleotides) under uncultured bacterium. Its description in RNAcentral is "bacterial SSU rRNA". It matches the Rfam family "Bacterial small subunit ribosomal RNA", at positions 521 to 896 of the family's 1533-position model. The record is from RNAcentral.
UAAUACGGAGGGUGCAAGCGUUAUCCGGAUUCACUGGGUUUAAAGGGUGUGUAGGCGGGCUAUUAAGUCAGUGGUGAAAUCUCCGGGCUCAACCCGGAAACUGCCAUUGAUACUAUUAGUCUUGAAUAUCGUUGAGGUAGGCGGAAUAUAUCAUGUAGCGGUGAAAUGCAUAGAUAUGAUAUAGAACACCGAUUGCGAAGGCAGCUUGCUAAACGAUGAUUGACGCUGAGGCACGAAAGCGUGGGGAUCAAACAGGAUUAGAUACCCUGGUAGUCCACGCCCUAAACGAUGAUUACUCGACAUACGCGAUACACAGUGUGUGUCUGAGCGAAAGCAUUAAGUAAUCCACCUGGGAAGUACGUCCGCAAGGAUG